GGAAAUGUAGCUCAGUUGGUAGAGCGGUAGAUUGAAGCUCUACGCGUCGGAAGUUCGAAUCUUUCCUUUUCCA
RNAcentral lists this transfer RNA (73 nucleotides) under Chryseobacterium sp. SSA4.19. Its description in RNAcentral is "tRNA-Phe". It matches the Rfam family "tRNA". From Rfam's summary of the family: Transfer RNA (tRNA) molecules are approximately 80 nucleotides in length. Their secondary structure includes four short double-helical elements and three loops (D, anti-codon, and T loops). Further hydrogen bonds mediate the characteristic L-shaped molecular structure. tRNAs have two regions of fundamental functional importance: the anti-codon, which is responsible for specific mRNA codon recognition, and the 3' end, to which the tRNAs corresponding amino acid is attached (by aminoacyl-tRNA synthetases). tRNAs cope with the degeneracy of the genetic code in two manners: having more than one tRNA (with a specific anti-codon) for a particular amino acid; and 'wobble' base-pairing, i.e. permitting non-standard base-pairing at the 3rd anti-codon position. The record is from RNAcentral. Lineage: Bacteria; Pseudomonadati; Bacteroidota; Flavobacteriia; Flavobacteriales; Weeksellaceae.